CAGCACUAAGUGGGUGGUAAACUCCAUCUAAAACUAAAUAUAACCAUGAGACCGAUAGCAAACAAGUACCGUGAGGGAAAGUUGAAAAGAACUCUGAAUAGAGAGUUAAAUAGUACGUGAAACUGCAUAGAGGUUAAGCCCGAUGAACCUGAAUAUCCAUUAUAGAAAAUUCAUCAUCAGUAAAAUAUUAUAACUUGUUAUAAUAUAUAAUGGUGUGCACUUUUUCUAUUUAAGGACAUUGUAAACUGUUAAUGUUUAAAUGCGUAUUAUAAGAGCUUUUACAUAAGUUUAUUCAUUUUUUAAAGUUUUUAAUUUUAAAUGGAAUAAAUGUGAAUGUUUCGAAUAUGCCAUUGACAGAUUUAUUAUAUAUAAUACAAGAAUUAAAUUUUAAUUCUAUAAUAAUAUGUUUAUCAUUGAUUUAUGUAUUCAUUAUAUGUAUUUAUAUGAUUAACAAUGCGAAAGAUUCAGGAUACCUUCGGGACCC
This 484-nucleotide ribosomal RNA is filed under the name Phora holosericea. RNAcentral's name for it is "eukaryotic LSU rRNA". It matches the Rfam family "Eukaryotic large subunit ribosomal RNA", at positions 283 to 650 of the family's 3401-position model. Lineage: Eukaryota; Metazoa; Arthropoda; Insecta; Diptera; Phoridae. The record is from RNAcentral.